RNAcentral lists this long non-coding RNA (2365 nucleotides) under Homo sapiens (human). RNAcentral describes it as "HSALNT0396110". Lineage: Eukaryota; Metazoa; Chordata; Mammalia; Primates; Hominidae. The record is from RNAcentral.
GCAUUGGGUCUAGAGUCGUUCCGGUCCCGCGGGGCAUGCUUUGAAGAGGCCUUCGUGUCAGGAAGAGGACUGGGCCUUGGCCCUCCCCCGCCGCCUCUAGGGCCGCAGCAAAUAGCAGCGCUGUUUUUCCAGAUCCUGGUGUACCGAGCAGCAGCAAAGGCGGUCCGGCGGCAGGCAUGUUCUCCUCCCCGGACCAGGCCGCACCGCCCCUGGUUAGCACCCGCCUCAGCGUCUCCGCCAUUCGCCGCGUAGCUCUGACCAAUCGGUGGCUCGUUCCCAGCCUUAGUCCCGCCCAAGCCGUGGCCGCAUCGUAGAGAUGGGGUUUCACCAUGUUGGCGAGGCUGGUCUCAAACUCCUGACCUCAGAUGAUCCGCCUGUCUUGGCCUCCCAGAGUGCCAGGAUUAUAGGCAUGAGCCACUGUGUCUGGCCUGUCUUCACAUCUUGACAGAAGAAGAUUUACCAUAGAGGAGAAUCAUGGAGGAAUGUACCUGCCUGCAGAGACAUGGUCUUGCUCUGUCACCCAGGCUACAGUGCAGUGGCAUCAUCACAGCUCACGACAGUCUCGACUUCCUGGGCUCAAGGGACUCCCAUCUCAGCCUCCUGCAUAGCCGGGACUACAGGUACGCACCAACAUGCCCAGCUAAUUUUAAAAUAUAUAUAUAUAUAUAUAUUUGAACAGACGGGGGUCUCACUAUGUUGCCCAGGUCAUUCUCCAACUCCUAAGCUCAAGCAAUCCUCUGGCCUUGGCCUCCCAAAGUAUUGGGAUUACAGGUGUGGAGACCAGGCCCCAUUUACCUUGUUUGUUGUCUUACAUAUUAGAACGCUCACAUCCGUGACAGCAGAGGUUUGUGUCUGUUGUUUACUGCUGUAACCUCCCCCUGCCACAACCCCCACCCUGUGCCUAACUAAACAGCACCUGUGCUUUGGUCUGAAUGUUUGUGCCCCUUCCCCCGGUUCAUAUGUUGAAAUCCUAACCCACAGUGAUAGGAGGUGGGGGCCUUUUAAAGGUGAUUAGGUCAUAAGGGUGGAGUCCUCAUGAAUGGGAUUAGUGCUCUUAUAAAAGAGGCCCCAGAGAGCUUCUCCACCUUCUGCCAUGUGAGACUAGAGUGAGUCUAUGAGGAAGCAGGCCCUCACUGGCCACCGAAUCUGCUGGGGCCUUGAUCUUGGACUUCCCAGCCUUCAAAACUGUGAGCAAUAAACUUCUGUUAGGCCAGGGGUGGUAGCUCAUGUCUGUAAUCCCAGCACUUUGGGAGGCUGGGGUGGGUGAACCACUUGAGCCCAGGAGUUCAAGACCAGCCCGAGGAACAUGGCACAACCCUGUCUCUAUUAAAAAAAUAGGCCAGGUAUAGCGGCUCAUGCCUAUAAUCCCAGCACUUUGGGAGGCUGAGGCAGGCAGAUCACAAGGUCAGGAGUUCGAGACCACCCUGGCCAAUACGGUGAAACCCCAUCUCUACUGAAAAUACAAAAAUUUGCCGGGCGUGGUGGUGGGUGCCUGUAAUCCCAGCUACUUGGGAGGCUGAGGCAGGAGAAUCGCUUGAACCCAGGAGGCAGAGGUUGCAGUGAGCCGAGAUCGUGCCAUUGCACUCCAGCCUGGCGACAGAGCAAAACUCCAUCUUAACAAAAAAAGACACACACACACAAUAAAAAUAAGGCAGGCGCAGUGGCUCAUGCCUGUAAUCCCAGCACUUUGGGAGGCUGAGGCAGGCAGAUCACAAGGUCAGGAGAUCGAGACCAUCCUGGCUAACACGGUGAAACCCCGUCUCUACUAAAAAUACAAAAAAUUAGCUGGGCGUGGUGGUGCGCACCUGUAGUCCCAGCUACUCAGGAGGCUGAGUGAGGCAGGAGAAUCGCUUGAACCUGGAAGGUGGAGGUUGCGGUGAGCCGAGGUCGCACCACUGCACUCCAGCCCAGGUAACAGAGCGAGACUCCGUCUCAAAAUAAAUAAAUAAAUAAAUCAGAAAUUUAUUGUUAUUAUUAUUAUUAUUUUUUUUUUGAGACAGAGUCUUGCUAUGUCCCCCAGGCUGGAGUGCAGUGGCACGAUCUCGGCUCACUGCAAGCUCCACCUCCCGGGUUCAUACCAUUCCCCUGCCUCAGUCUCCUGAGUAGCUGGGACUACAGGCGCCCGCCACCACACCCAGCUAAUUUUUUGUAUUUUUAGUAGAGACGAGGUUUCACCCUGUGAGCCAGGAUGGUCUCAAUCUCCUGACCUCGUGAUCCACCCUUGUCGGCCUCCCAAAGUGCUGGGAUUACAGGCGUGAGCCACGAUGCCCAGCCAAGAAAUUUAUUUUUUAAUAAUUAGUAGAGGAAUUUAAUAGUAGUAGAGAAAUUUAUUUUUUAAUAAUUUAAUAAAUAAGCCAUCCUGUCC